GACGAACGCUGGCGGCGUGCUUAACACAUGCAAGUCGAACGGAAAGGCCCUGCUUUUGUGGGGUGCUCGAGUGGCGAACGGGUGAGUAACACGUGAGUAACCUGCCCUUGACUUUGGGAUAACUUCAGGAAACUGGGGCUAAAACCGGAUAGGAGCUCCUGCUGCAGGGGGGGGGUUGGAAAGUUUCGGCGGUUGGGGAUGGACUCGCGGGUUAUCCGCUUGUUGGUGGGGUAGUGGCUUACAAAGGCUUUGACGGGUAGCCGGCCGGAGAGGGUGACCGGCCACAUUGGGACUGAGAUACGGCCCAGACUCCUACGGGAGGCAGCAGUGGGGAAUAUUGCACAAUGGGCGGAAGCCUGAUGCAGCAACGCCGCGUGCGGGAUGACGGCCUUCGGGUUGUAAACCGCUUUCGCCUGUGACGAAGCGUGAGUGACGGUAAUGGGUAAAGAAGCACCGGCUAACUACGUG
This 468-nucleotide ribosomal RNA is filed under the name uncultured bacterium. Its description in RNAcentral is "partial 16S ribosomal RNA". It matches the Rfam family "Bacterial small subunit ribosomal RNA", at positions 28 to 507 of the family's 1533-position model. The record is from RNAcentral.